CUCAGUAACAAGGAUGUGGUGCCUGAGGGAAAGGAUGUUGGUUGCCACGGCAACCCAGCACAUCCAUGUCACCAGAGACCACCACGCGGCAUACAAAGAAUCCAGACAGAAAAAGCCUUUCCAGCACCUGGCUGACAGCUGCUUAUCCCUGGUUAUCCCACCUGCCUGCCGCAGGACCACACAAACCAAACUAACACGGCUGUUACUCUGAGAUCCUCUUUGGCAUGACAUUUUUUCGCCCCUGAAUACGUGCUCACUUGAGUCAAAGCAAUUGCGGCCCCCCCACCCGCUGUGGCAAGUUGGACUUAAAUUCUGUGGCACCCUGGCAAUUCUGCAGCUCAGCUCCAUGGAAAUCUGACAAAGAGAUGGAGGCAACAUGGAAGCAGGUUUUGGGGACGAAGAUGAUGAUGAUGAGGUUGUAGAUAGCUCACAGCAAGCAAGCGGAGAAACCGGUUUUCCCGACAGCCAGGAACUGUUUCUCACCCUGGACCUGGAGCCAGUACCCCCCGAACCCACCCAAGGCUGCCUCCUGGACCCGGCAGGCAGAGAAGGGACCUCCGCUGCAGGUGUUUCAACGAUCACAGGAUCUUCUCCUUCCCAGAGGCUAGUGAAGAUUAGAAAGGAAAAAAAAACGCACUCGUGAUGAAAUGUUCUGAGCUCAUGCUGUCCUCCCACACUGACAGAGCACAGACGAAUGCGUGGAGGCAAAUAAUGUCAGAGUGCAGGAAAGCACAAAAUGACCGGGAGGAGAGGUGGCAGGCUGAUGAGAGGGCUGAAGCUCAAAUGUGGCGGCAGCAUGAUGAGAGGAGGCGGGAUUCAAUGCUGAGGCUGCUGGAGGAUCAAACCAGUAUGCUCCAGUGUAUGGCUGAGCUGCAGCAAAGGCAGCUGGAGCACAGACUGCCACUACAGCCCCUGUGUAACCAACCGCCCUCCUCCCCAAGCUCCAUAGCCUCCACACCCAGAUGCCCAAGAAUGCGGGGGGGGAGGGCCCUCCGGCCAACCAGUCACUCCACCACAGAGGAUUGCCCAAAAACAGAAGGCUGGCAU
Molecule: long non-coding RNA, 1047 nt
Organism: Caretta caretta (loggerhead turtle)
Lineage: Eukaryota; Metazoa; Chordata; Testudines; Cheloniidae
Source: RefSeq, a predicted model, not a curated record